Molecule: ribosomal RNA, 406 nt
Filed under: uncultured bacterium
Lineage: Bacteria
Description: partial 16S ribosomal RNA
Rfam family: Bacterial small subunit ribosomal RNA
Source: RNAcentral
AUUGAACGCUGGCGGCAGGCCUAACACAUGCAAGUCGAACGAGGGGCGGACGGGAGAGACAUGUCUGGGAAACUGCCCGAUGGAGGGGGCUAACUACUGGAAACGGUAGCUAAUACCGCAGACCUUCGGAUGUGCCCAGAUGGGAUUAGCUAGUAGGUGGGGUAACGGCUCACCAAGGCGACGAUCCAUAGCUGGUCUGAGAGGAUGACCAGCCACACUGGAACUGAGACACGGUCCAGACUCCUACGGGAGGCAGCAGUGGGGAAUAUUCCACAAUGGGCGCAAGCCUGAUGCAGCCAUGCCGCGUGAGUGAAGAAGGCCUUCGGGUUGUAAAGUACUGUCAUCGGGGAAGCGUUACUCUCAUAGGAAGCACCGGCUAACUACGUGCCAGCAGCCGCGGUAAUAC